RNAcentral lists this ribosomal RNA (253 nucleotides) under uncultured bacterium. RNAcentral's name for it is "partial 16S ribosomal RNA". It matches the Rfam family "Bacterial small subunit ribosomal RNA", at positions 524 to 776 of the family's 1533-position model. The record is from RNAcentral.
UACGGAGGGUGCAAGCGUUGUCCGGAUUUAUUGGGUUUAAAGGGUGCGUAGGCGGGCCUUUAAGUCAGUGGUGAAAGCCUGCAGCUCAACUGUAGAAUUGCCAUUGAUACUGGAGGCCUUGAGUACAGAUAAGGUAGGCGGAAUUGAUGAUGUAGCGGUGAAAUGCAUAGAUAUCAUCAGGAACUCCGAUUGCGAAGGCAGCUUACUGGUCUGUAACUGACGCUGAGGCACGAAAGCGUGGGGAGCGAACAGG